UUGACCUGGGCGUCUAGUGC
Molecule: ribosomal RNA, 20 nt
Filed under: Diaporthe helianthi
Lineage: Eukaryota; Fungi; Ascomycota; Sordariomycetes; Diaporthales; Diaporthaceae
Description: partial 28S ribosomal RNA
Source: RNAcentral